Molecule: ribosomal RNA, 253 nt
Filed under: uncultured bacterium
Lineage: Bacteria
Description: partial 16S ribosomal RNA
Rfam family: Bacterial small subunit ribosomal RNA
Source: RNAcentral
UACGGAGGGGGCGAGCGUUAUUCGGAAUUAUUGGGCGUAAAGGGCGCGUAGGCGGCUUGACAAGUCAAAGGUGAAAUCCCUCGGCUCAACUGAGGAACUGCCUUUGAAACUGUCUGGCUUGAGGCCGGGAGGGGGUAGCGGAAUUCCCAGUGUAGCGGUGAAAUGCGCAGAUAUCAGGAGGAACACCGGUGGCGAAGGCGGGUCUCUGGGAUGAUGCUGACGCUGAGGCGCGAAAGCCAGGGGAGCAAACGGG